RNAcentral lists this ribosomal RNA (391 nucleotides) under uncultured bacterium. Its description in RNAcentral is "partial 16S ribosomal RNA". It matches the Rfam family "Bacterial small subunit ribosomal RNA", at positions 524 to 918 of the family's 1533-position model. The record is from RNAcentral.
UACGGAGGCUCCGAGCGUUAUCCGGAUUUAUUGGGUUUAAAGGGUGCGCAGGCGGCCAUUUAAGUCAGCGGUUAAAUCGUGGGGCUCAACCCCAUUCUGCCGUUGAUACUGGGUGGCUUGAUUGCGGUCGAGGUUGGCGGAAUUCGUUGUGUAGCGGUGAAAUGCAUAGAUAUGACGAAGAACACCGAUUGCGUAGGCAGCUGACCAGAUCGCAAAUGACGCUCAUGCACGAAAGUGCGGGGAUCGAACAGGAUUAGAUACCCUGGUAGUCCGCACAGUAAACGAUGAAUACUUGUUUUCGGCGAUAUAAUGUCGGAGGCAAAGCGAAAGCGAUAAGUAUUCCACCUGGGGAGUACGCCGGCAACGGUGAAACUCAAAGGAAUUGACGGGG